Molecule: microRNA precursor, 138 nt
Filed under: Drosophila virilis
Lineage: Eukaryota; Metazoa; Arthropoda; Insecta; Diptera; Drosophilidae
Description: microRNA dvi-mir-9549 precursor
Source: miRBase by way of RNAcentral
UUUGGGCAAUUUGGCUACUUGCGCUGUUGAUAUCCAGCAGUGUUAGCACAAGUCCUUUGUAUUGCAACCCAAUAUUCGAAGGACCUCUGCUAAGACUAUUGGAAAUUAGCAGAAAUCCACAGCUGCAGAUGGCAUGAG